GGGCCCAUAGCUCAGUUUGGCAGAGCCACCGGCUCAUAACCGGUAGGUCCCUGGUUCGAUUCCAGGUGGGCCCA
RNAcentral lists this transfer RNA (74 nucleotides) under Deltaproteobacteria bacterium. Its description in RNAcentral is "tRNA-Ile". It matches the Rfam family "tRNA". From Rfam's summary of the family: Transfer RNA (tRNA) molecules are approximately 80 nucleotides in length. The record is from RNAcentral. Lineage: Bacteria; Pseudomonadati; Myxococcota; Myxococcia.